GGAUGUGAGGGUGAUCUGACUGUGACAUCCAUCACCCCAGUGAUUAGCAGGGUUGAUUAGGCUGAUCUGGCUGGCUAGGUGGGUGUGUCUCCUUCCUUGCUCACCGCUCCAUGUGCUCCCUCCUGAAGCUGUGUGCUCUGUGGAAGAGGGCCGCCUUACCGAAUAGAGGGGGACCUGUCUUGGGUCAAGGGUAUAGGAGUAGCUGCGCUCCCCUGCUAGAACCUCCAAACAAACUCUCAAAGUAGGCAUCUCUGCACUAUGAUGUAUCUAAAAAUAGCCCUUAGCUUUACAUUUCUAGAUUGUUUUAUUAUUU
RNAcentral lists this small nuclear RNA (313 nucleotides) under Erinaceus europaeus (western European hedgehog). RNAcentral's name for it is "7SK RNA". It matches the Rfam family "7SK RNA". From Rfam's summary of the family: 7SK was discovered as an abundant small nuclear RNA in the mid-70s but a possible function has only recently been suggested. Two independent studies have found that 7SK RNA binds the CDK9/cyclin T complex (known as elongation factor P-TEFb). The record is from Rfam by way of RNAcentral. Lineage: Eukaryota; Metazoa; Chordata; Mammalia; Eulipotyphla; Erinaceidae.